CCUACGGGUGGCAGCAGUAAGGAAUAUUGGUCAAUGGACGCAAGUCUGAACCAGCCAUGCCGCGUGGAGGAUGAAGGUCCUCUGGAUUGUAAACUUCUUUUAUUUGGGAAGAAACUCCCGAUUUCCAUCGGGAUUGACGGUACCAGAUGAAUAAGCACCGGCUAACUCCGUGCCAGCAGCCGCGGUAAUACGGAGGGUGCCGGCUUUACCGGGUUUAAAGGGUGCUAAGGUGUGCAGGUAAGUCAAUGGUGAAAUCUCCGGGCUUAACCCGGAAACUGCCAUUGAUACUAUUUGUCUUGAAUACUCUGGAGGUGAGCGGAAUAUGUCAUGUAGCGGUGAAAUGCUUAGAUAUGACAUAGAACACCCAUUGCGAAGGCAGCUCACUACGGAAAUAUUGACGCUGAGGCACGAAAGCGUGGGGAUCAAACAGGAUUAGAUACCCGGGUAGUC
Molecule: ribosomal RNA, 450 nt
Filed under: uncultured bacterium
Lineage: Bacteria
Description: partial 16S ribosomal RNA
Rfam family: Bacterial small subunit ribosomal RNA
Source: RNAcentral